Long non-coding RNA from Suricata suricatta (meerkat), 552 nucleotides. RefSeq lists it as uncharacterized. The transcript has 2 exons. The record is from RefSeq and is a predicted model, not a curated record. Lineage: Eukaryota; Metazoa; Chordata; Mammalia; Carnivora; Herpestidae.
AGGGCCACCGGAGACUGGGUGUUCUCCGCCCCCCCGGCCCCUGGCCUCCCUGCCUCCCUGCCUCCCUGCCUCCCUCCCCUCCCGCUUCAAAACCGAAACUUGGCUUCCGGGCUGCUUCUCCGUACCUUCCCCGACCUCCUCCGUGCUGUCCAUUCCCGUGGUGAGCUCACCUCUAAGCCGAGACAGUGCGGCCGCGCACACGUCCCAGCUGAUGGCUCCUCUCGUCCCUCGUCCCCUCCUCCCUGACGGGCUCCUCCGCCAGCAGGACACACGUCUUUGCUGGACUCCCUGGGGACUGACAGCAGGGUCGGGGAGAGGGGAACGCAGGAGCCACCGUUCGCAGCCCAGUGCAGAGGCGGACGUGGAGACGGCCUCGGAGCCGUGGUCAGCGGGGCCGCUGGACGAGAGCUGCUAGGCGCUCCCGAAACCUGAUGGAUGUUUCCUUUCCGCCCCGUUUGAGGGCGUCCCUGCCGCGGCCGCCGUGCGCCUGCGCAGACGGGAUCCGGCCAGACUCCCCAAUCUCACUCUUUUUUAAUAAACCAGCAUAAAGUA